This 376-nucleotide unclassified non-coding RNA is filed under the name soil metagenome. RNAcentral's name for it is "partial contains 5.8S ribosomal RNA, internal transcribed spacer 2, and large subunit ribosomal RNA". The stretch from base 1 to 120 matches the Rfam family "5.8S ribosomal RNA", at positions 35 to 154 of the family's 154-position model. The record is from RNAcentral.
GAUUAAGAACGUAGCGAAAUGCGAUAAGUAAUGUGAAUUGCAGAAUUCAGUGAAUCAUCGAAUCUUUGAACGCAUCUUGCGCUCCUUGGUAUUCUGAGGAGCAUGCCUGUUUGAGUGUCAUUAAAUUCUCAACUACACUGACUUUGAAUUGGUGUGGCUUGGAUUUGGGGGGAAAAUUGUUGUGGGCUUUUUGUAUAGUCUGCUCCCCUGAAAUUGAUUAGCGGUACCUUUGUGGAACUGUCUACAGGUGUGAUAAUUAUCUACAUCUUAGACAUCUGCUGGAAUGCUGCUCUCUAAACCUUACUUGUAUUGACAAUCUUGACCUCAAAUCAGGUAGGACUACCCGCUGAACUUAAGCAUAUCAAUAAGCGGAGGA